GGAUCUUUUACGUGUUCAAUGACAGUUCGCGGUUGAACGAUGGAUGAAGCCAAAGAUCAGCCCCUCAAGUCUUUGUGGUUCAAAUGUUCAGGGUUAAACAACUUUGCUUAUCUCAGUCUGGCUUUAGACGUUUUAUAUUUAAACUGCGAUUUUUUUUUUUUUUUUUUUUUUUUUUUUCCAGGAAACUAUAAAAAUUAAAUUAACUAAAAAGUUGUGAAAUCUUGA
Molecule: unclassified non-coding RNA, 225 nt
Filed under: Hevea brasiliensis (rubber tree)
Lineage: Eukaryota; Viridiplantae; Streptophyta; Magnoliopsida; Malpighiales; Euphorbiaceae
Source: RNAcentral